This 726-nucleotide long non-coding RNA is filed under the name Crocodylus porosus (Australian saltwater crocodile). RNAcentral's name for it is "lncRNA (ENSCPRG00005000871.1)". The record is from RNAcentral. Lineage: Eukaryota; Metazoa; Chordata; Crocodylia; Crocodylidae.
AUCUAAUCUUCCAGUUUGCAUCCAUCUCUGCCUUAGACAAUAUCGGUGCUGACAGCUCUGGCUUUAUGGACAGACCCUACAGUAACAGACCGUCCAGUGUGCCAGGGACAAGCAUAAUUUUUGGAUCACUGGAUAGAAAACUGCAACGGCCUCUCCUAGGGAAGUCACGGACGCUUCCCAGCAUCCCUCAGUCACCUGUCCUAAGCAGGGUUCCUCUCCUGGAUUCAAAAUUGUACAGAGAAGACAUGCCAGAGCAGAAGCAGUACAAGAACCAUGCCCCCUCGGACUGCCAGAAAGGGUGCACUGUGCCCUCUACUGGUGAGGCCUGGCGACUGGAAGAUGACUGUAUGGACUCUGUGGGGGACCCUGCCCUCCGUCCACAGCUUCGCACUGCCGUGGAUGAGGCUCCUUUCAGUUACUUCCGUACACGGUCCUUUUACAUGAGGAAAAGCCUGUCUGUGGACAACCACCUGAGCUCCCUCAGCUACUCCAUCCAUCCCUCAGAGACAAAGGCUGAGCGUGUCAAGACCAAGCUCCGGAGGCAGUUUUCAGGUGCAGAACAGAGACUGGCUGAGAGCUGGAAACAGACUGGAGAGUGGGAUUUUGGAGAUGGUGUCAUCUUUGUGAGAGGAAAAGGCUGCUGUUAUGUUGAAACACUCCCAUGAUAUGCUGGGGCUGAAAUUCAAAACUGACCAUAGUAUCCAAGUUUAUGAAUUGUUGUUUCAA